Molecule: long non-coding RNA, 4685 nt
Organism: Cavia porcellus (domestic guinea pig)
Lineage: Eukaryota; Metazoa; Chordata; Mammalia; Rodentia; Caviidae
Exons: 2
Source: RefSeq, a predicted model, not a curated record
UUUGAGGGCCACCUUCUCAGAAAGCUCCCCAGCAAGUUCCCACAGCCAGCAAGCUGUGCCUCCCCUGGCCUUGUUCCACUUGCCAUGGCUAAAAAUACCCCAGAUCCCGGGGUAGCCCUGGGGACAGGGGCCCAGAGUACCUGGCGUUAUUAAAGGAGCAGCCAGGGUCAGCUGGCCUCCUGGGCCCUCCAUGUCCUGUCUUCUCGGUGAGGUGUCCUGGGCUCCCUGCCCCUGUAUCCCCACAAGGACCACUCUGUGUCCUGGCUGGAGCUGGGGCUUCUACAGAUGUCAGAACAGCCUCUCACCUACAAAACAGAAGCUCCAAUUCCUCUUACAAAACUACAGUUAGCAGCAAGACUAAAACAGAGUGUCCCCUUCCUGGCCAUGGCCCAGUGGUUUUAAUUCAAGUGGCUUCUUGUGUGACUCCCUGCUCAGCCUGGACCUGCAGCCUCUUUGAGGGUCUGAAGAAGGGAUGGGUCCAGGAAAAGUAGUGAACCGCGUGCACCAUGUACAGAAAGCUCUUGUAGUGGUGCACACCUGUCAGCCCAGCACUCGUGAAGCUGAGGCAGAAUGAUUGCUGUGAGUUUCCAGGCCAGCCUAGACUACAUAAUUCAAGGCCAGCCCAGGCUACAUAGUAAAACCCUGUCUCAAAAGAAAAAUAAAUAUAGAGAUGUAUAGACAGAGCAGGGAGUAGAGAGGGGAGGUAUGGAAGGGGUGGGUCUUUGUAGGAUGAAUUUGAUUUCCUCACAGAGGAAAUGCAAAGUCAGAGAUGUGCAUUCACAGCAGAACGCGCAGGGGCACCUGAGGACUUUCAGGGGACUCGAAGGGCUGGCAUCCUCUCGCCAUGUAACAACCUAGCCCACAGGCAGGGCCCUGAGUCCUCCUGUGCAGGAUCACAGUGUCGAAGGGUCAGGAUCAGGGUCCGGGCCGGGCUGGUUCUCCAUGCUGAGCAAGGGCAAGUGGUGCUGUGACCCACCUAAGCAUGGUGGGGAGCAGCCUGCUUUGAGAUCACCAGGGGCUCCUUUCUGUGCCCCAGCUUCUCCCUGGCCGAGACAGAGGCUACCCCACCCCCAGCUCCUGGGGACCACGGCCCUUUGCACCCUCUCUGUGGCAGUGAAAAUUGAGUCUCCUAGGACUUCCUCGGGUGUUGCUUCUUACGGGAAACAGGUUUGACCCAUGCUUUAGCACAGAGGGUGACGCAGGUGACCUCAGUGCCACCCUGGCAUCCGGCUCCCCUUGCAAUAGCAGGAAAGGAGUGGCCUGAGAAAGCCCUGGGGCACUACAGCCAGGAGCUUGAACUUUGUCCUCUGGGGGCAGGAAGUCACCAAACGGGGACAAGUGGGAAGGGCCAGGUGGGGCAGAGGAGGACCCAGCCUCACCUUUGGUCUCCAUUCAAAGGUCACCUGGGCUCUUGCUCUACACCCGGCACAAAAUGGCCACCCAUCCUCACACUGCAUGGUGCAAGGUGCAGCCAACUGUGUUACAGCGCGGGCUGCCCUGUGCUUUGUGUGUUCUUGGGUUGUCAACAACCGACUUUCCUCCUCUGCAGCACUCAAGGACCGUCCAGUACUCCUGCACCUCCGGAACAGUGCCCAGGCAGAGGCCUGGGACCUCCUCCCAGGUGACCUGCAGACCUGGGUCCCCACCUUGGCCAGUUGAGGGGCCAAGGACAUCUAGCUGGGAAGCUCUGGAGCCAGACUGCCUUGCUGAGCCAGACUGGAUCCUGACCCGCAGAGCCCUGGUGGAUACAGAUGACCAUCAUCAUCUUGGUCCUGCAUUGGUUCUGCAGGAUGCACUGUCAUGGUGCUGCAAUGCUGACACUCUGGUGGUGAAGUCCCAGGGGCAGUAACCAGUCCAGAACACUGCUUUCUGGAUCCCCUACUGUUCUGGAUCCCCUACUGUUCUGGAUCCCCUACUGGAUCCCCUACUGACUGCCUCUCUCACUGGAGGUGGGAGAAACCCCUAAUUCCAGCACUCUGGGAGGCUGACGCAGGAGGAUGGCAAGUUCAAGUUCAGCUUGAGCUACUUAACAAUGCAGCAAGACAUUGUCUCAAAUUAGAACUGAGAGAUUUAGUUAUGUGGCAUAAGCGCCUGCCUGGCAAGUGCUAGGUCAUGAGUUCGAUCCCCGGUACCGAAAAAAAAAAAAAAGAAAAAGAAAAUGGAAAUUAGAACUGAAAAGGACUGCAGUAUAGCUCAUUGCAGAGGCCCUCGUUCAAUCCCUGGUACUGAAGAAAAAAAAACCUGCAUCCAGGCAUGGUGAUUCCAGCUGUCAACCCAGUGCUCAAGAAGCUGAAUCAGGAGGAUUACCUCAAGUUCAAGGCAACCCUGGACUACACAGUGAGUUAAAGGACAACUUGAACUGCAUAGUGAGACCCUGUCUCAAAACAAAACCAAACCACAGAAGGGUGUUUAAAAUGAGACAAAGUUCUCCAAAUUAUGUUCUUCUUACAAACUCCUGUACCACACUGAAGCCUUGAGCUCCUUUUCACACGUGCUGCUGCCCAGCCUCCCCUGCCCCGGGUUCUAGCCCUGGCUUUGUCCCCCGGGCACUGAAUGGCCCCGAUGCCACCCCCUGAGGCCCACUCAGCUCCCUCUCCAGACCAGAGGCUGUGCUGAGCAGCCAAUGAACCCAAAAGGGCGCACACCUCAUCCUGUGCUCUCUGUCCUGGGUGGGCUCAGCCCCAGAUUCAGCCCCUGCCCAGCCCCAGGCCACUACAGUGGAGCCAGAGUGUGGAGGGCCAGUCCAUAGCUCGUGCUCCUGUAACCCAACACCUUAGGCACCUUCCUUUUAUAGUUUAAAAAAUCAAUAACCUACGCCCUGCAGCUGAGAAAGCUGAGGCAGGAGGACCUCAAAUGCAAGGUCAGCCCAGGCAAUUUAGGAAGACUUUGUCUCAAAAUAAAAAUAAAGACCCUGGAUUCAACUCCCAGUACCACAAAUAUGUUAAUUAAUUUAAUUAAAUAAAAUCAGUAAGCUAUCAGCCCGGCCCUGGGCUUGUGAAAGCAGCCUCAGUUUCACGAAGACCUCAACAGGUGUUGGGGUGCUCCAGGGUGAGCCUAGUCCUGGUCCUGGUCCUGGUCCCCUUCUCCAGCUCACAGAGGUUGCCCCAGAAUUGCCAUGGACAUCGCUGUACCCCAGUCAGGACCUUGAUUCUCCCCAGCCCAUGAGGAGUCUGUGCAAACAUUCCUGGGUCUCCUCGGGAUGGGGAUGUCGACUCAGGCUCUGCCAGAAAGGAGGUGCGGGGCUGAGACCUCGCAGAGGGACGUCCCGCAAACAACUGCUGUGUUCCCACAGACACCUCAGGGGAGACGAGCUCGAUGCUACCUCUUGGAGGGAGGGAAAGGCGGUCAGUGCCUUCUGGAUCCUGUCUGGCCAUCAAGGAUGUGACCGGCAGUUGGUGACAUCGAAGCUGACCAGGUUGGAGAUCAGGCAGCUGUGUGGUCCACCAGCUUCCGCCUGCAGCCCCAGCACAGGGCAGGGCGUAGCAGGUCCUCUGCUGUUUGGGGAUCAGACACCGACGCUUUGGGGACAAAGGGCUCAGCUGCAACUCGCUUCCAGGUCAUUUAGAAAAUCUAAGUAUUUAUGCACAAUGAGAAACGCAGCCAUGAGGCAAACGGAGUACGUGAACCUUCGGGGACUCGGGGCGAAAGGUGAAAGCAGUGCUUUGUUCCCGCCCUGACCUUCUGCUGAGAGGCCCUGUGACCGUGGUCCUGUUUUGUGACGCUGACACAGCCACGUCCUCGCUGGCUCUGGCCAGGGCCCCACCCUGGUGUCCCUGACCUCAGGCCGUGUCCUCCCCCAGGGGCCCCUGAGCAGGGAGCUGUGCCCAGAACGUGGCUCUGCCUGGGCAUCUCCAGGAGCCUGGGGCCAUGGGCAGGGCUUCUCGCAGGUGGCUGGGUAGAGGUUGUGAUGCUAGGAUUAAGGGGCGAGUGCUACACCACCACCCCAAGAGUGGGAGCCUGGAUAAGAUACCAGGGCCAGAAGGAGGGCUCUUUGUUGCUUACUGCUGCUGCUGAUCUUCUGGCUGCCACGCCCCCCUGCCUGCCACCCUUGUUUGGAGCCGGACAACCACCGACUGACCCCUCGGCAAAGGUGAGCCAGAAUGGACCUCUCCGCCUUUAGCUUUGAGGGUCAGGUAUUUUGUCUCAGCAAUGAGGAAAAUAACAAGAUGGUGGCUGGCCCUAAGGAAUGUGCCACCUCACAUCUCCCCCAGCAGGGAUAGCAGGAUAAUGUGUAUCCCUGGCUCAGAAAACAGAAUGAGGGUAGAAGAUAUAGCUCAGGGGCACAGCGCCCACAGGCAAGCAUGAGAUGAGGUCAUGAGUUCGAUCCCAGGUGCCAAGGGGAAAAGAAAAAGAAAGGAAAAGUGUUCCCAAGCCAGCGUGCCCGACACAGGGACCAUGGCUGGGCCACAGAGCGUUCCCACCACGGCAGAGUUCAGGAGCGCAGCGCUGCACAGAAAUUGCACUUUCAAACUCAAUGUUAGAAAAUGAAAGGAAGAGGGGCUGGGGAUUUAGCUCAGCGGCAUAAGCACCUGCCUUGCAAGCAGGUGGUCGUGAGUUCGAUCCCUGGUACUGAUAAAAAGUGAAAAAAAAAAAAAGACACAAAAAAAAAAAAAAGAAAAUGAAAGGAAGAAAAAUGGAAGGAAGGAAGGAAAAGAGGGAGAAAGAGAGAGAGACAGAAAAUAAAA